CGCGCAGGCGGUCGAUUUAGUCGCGUGUGAAAGCCCCGGCUCAACUGGGGAGGGUCACGCGAUACUGAUCGACUCGAAGGCAGGAGAGGGUAGUGGAAUUCCCGGUGUAGUGGUGAAAUGCGUAGAUAUCGGGAGGAACACCAGUGGCGAAGGCGACUACCUGGCCUGUUCUUGACGCUGAGGCGCGAAAGCUAGGGAGCAAACG
Molecule: ribosomal RNA, 205 nt
Filed under: uncultured bacterium
Lineage: Bacteria
Description: partial 16S ribosomal RNA
Rfam family: Bacterial small subunit ribosomal RNA
Source: RNAcentral